UAACCCUGGCAAUGGACUGAGACACCUUGGUGGUGGUGUUCUUCUAUCAGUCAGGGACAGAGCAGAUGGCAGCACUUUGUUUAUUCUAGCUUGAUGCCUGGCUUGGUGGCUAAAGCUGUUUUAUGCUUUGGGCUCAUAA
Molecule: small nucleolar RNA, 139 nt
Organism: Psammomys obesus (fat sand rat)
Lineage: Eukaryota; Metazoa; Chordata; Mammalia; Rodentia; Muridae
Product: small nucleolar RNA SNORA48
Exons: 1
Source: RefSeq, a predicted model, not a curated record